Camellia sinensis is the source of this 2102-nucleotide non-coding RNA. The record is from RefSeq and is a predicted model, not a curated record. NCBI's taxonomy places the organism in Eukaryota, Viridiplantae, Streptophyta, Magnoliopsida, Ericales, Theaceae.
GCAGCACCAAACCAAGCCAAACACUUUUCCUCACCUGGGGCUUUAUGUUGUCGAAGAAGGAGGGCGAAAAAAAAUCAGCCACUACCGUCGGCCAAGAAGAAUAGCAAGUGACGAUGUCCAUAGCCCAAGCCCACCGGACUGUACAUCGGCGGCGACACUACAACCAUCGCCUCGUCGGCACCACCAAUCGUCAACCCUGUGUCAGUUGAAUUGGUUGGUGCGAAGAACCAAGGCGAGAGAGCACGGACUAUGCGUCCUCCAGAAACGACAUUGUCAUGCAAUUGUGGGAUGAUAUCAUGCACAUUCAACAAUCCUUACGCCUCCUUAAGACCAUUGUCUCUGUGCUAUGCAUUGUUGUUGUCAUUUUGUUGUUGCGUAUGUAAGGAACAUUAGGAUGUUGUUAGUAUGUUCGGAAUGUUAGGAGGUUGGUAGUAUGUUUUAGUAUGGCUAUAAGCUUGCUUUGCGUUCCUCCACUAUGAAAAGGUAGACGUAUUAAUGACUAUCAUAACUAUGUCCACCACUCAGUUGCAUGUUUGUUUAUGUAUUUUAUUAAUGUGCAAUGGUUGUAUGCUGUCAAGUUUAGUAUCCAAUUUCUUUGUUUAUUGUUCAUGGGCAUAGAUUGUGCAUCGUGCAACCAAUUUAAAUUAUUCUGCUAUGGGUUUAUACAUUUGUAUGUAACAACCAAAUAUGUGAUGGUGAUUUUUUGUAACCGUACAUUAGUAAUGGCUUCCAUACGUACGUCUCCGCGUACCCAAUCCAAAAGCAAAGGCAUUGUGACGGAGAAGUCAAGCAGUCUUGAAGAGACACAGAAUCAGUUCAGCCACAAGGCCUCAUGGGACAGUGACUCAAUUUGAAUUUUCCUGCAGUUGAUUGUAAAUGAGAUUACAAAAGGAAAUCGGUUAUUCCUAGUCCUCAGCCAAGCAGGGUACAAGUCGUUGGCAAGGAAAUGUGAGAAAAAAACAGGAAGAAAACAUGGCCUGAAACAGUUGAAGAACAAAUACAUGAGUUUGAAAAAAGAGUGGCAAGUGUGGACAAAGUUGAUGGAUUCAAGCAAAGGAGUGUCGGGGAUAGGGUUUGACAGUGACACUGGUAUGUUUCAGGCACCUGAGGAGUGGUGGGACAAGAUGGAAUUGGUAAGUACAUGUUUGUUGCGUUUCAUAUUUGUCGGUUACCAGUCAAUUUAACCUUUUUAGUAAACUGCAUUACUUGUUAUAUGAAAUGUAACGUCUUCCUCUUUCAUAAAUCUCCAAUUGUGCAAAUAAAUAAGGUGUGUGCCAAGUUCAGGAAAAAAACUUUGGAACAUCGUGACUUGAUGGAGAUGGUCUUUAUCGGGACAUCAGCUACUGGUAAACACCAUUGGGCCCCGUGAGAGAAACUUCCUAAAGCUACCGAGGACUCAUCUGAUUCUGUGAACAGUUUGGAAGCGCAGCCAUUUGCUAAUCCGAUACCUACAGGAGUACAUGACGUGGAUUCAGAUUCUUCACUGGAACUUGUUCUGACUGAAAAGUGAAAAAGGAGAAAGACGACAUCAACAAGUGUUUCAAAGUCGAAAAAGGCAACAAGUGGAGCAUCAGUUAUUGCAGAAAGCAUGAACAAUCUAACAAAUGUGGUUCAUACCCAGAAUCAACAGGUUACGGUGAGGCACCUCAUAGGUAACGAAUCACUGUACACAAUUUCGGAGUGCAUGCAUCGCCUGACGAAUAUUCCAUCCCUUAUUGGUACGCCGCUAUUUCAUUUCGCCUCGACACUUUUGGAUAACGCAGAUUACCGAGAGGUGAUAAUGUGCCAGCCUGAUGACGAUCACAUUAUAGGGUGGCUUACACAGAAGCAGCUCUAGUGUACUACGUCGGCGCCAUUUGCUAACCUGUUUGGGGCUCACCGGAUGUAAUGUAGCAGUGUAAUGCUGAAGAUGCCUGCCCUUCUCUUACGUUGGAAAACUUUUAUUUUAGUUAUUGUUGGAACUGUACUAAAACAUGAUGGUUGUGUGAGCAUGUUUUAAACUUUUUUCAAUUUUUUUUUUCUUGCUAGCUAUGGUCUUUUGUGAUUUGUAUGUUUGUGAUAGACGGAAUGGAAGUAUGGUUGUGUGUUUUUUUGGAAUGGAA